GAUGAACGCUGGCGGCGUGCCUAAUACAUGCAAGUCGAGCGAUCUUCUUCGGAAGAGAGCGGCGGACGGGUGAGUAACGCGUGGGUAACCUGCCCUGUACACACGGAUAACAUACCGAAAGGUAUGCUAAUACGGGAUAAUAUAUGAGAGUCACAUGACUUUUAUAUCAAAGUUUUUGCGGUACAGGAUGGACCCGCGUCUGAUUAGCUAGUUGGUAAGGUAACGGCUUACCAAGGCGACGAUCAGUAGCCGACCUGAGAGGGUGAUCGGCCACACUGGAACUGAGACACGGGCCAGACUCCUACGGGAGGCAGCAGUUGGGAAUAUUGCAAAAUGGGCGAAAGCCUGAUGCAGCAACGCCGCGUGAGCGAUGAAGGCCUUCGGGUCGUAAAGCUCUGUCCUCAAGGAAGAUAAUUACGGUACUUGAGGAGGAAGCCCCGGCUAACUACGUGCCAGCAGCCGCAGUAA
This 468-nucleotide ribosomal RNA is filed under the name uncultured bacterium. Its description in RNAcentral is "partial 16S ribosomal RNA". It matches the Rfam family "Bacterial small subunit ribosomal RNA", at positions 28 to 523 of the family's 1533-position model. The record is from RNAcentral.